Panthera pardus (leopard) is the source of this 262-nucleotide unclassified non-coding RNA. Its record names the gene 7SK. It matches the Rfam family "7SK RNA". Rfam says of the family: 7SK was discovered as an abundant small nuclear RNA in the mid-70s but a possible function has only recently been suggested. Two independent studies have found that 7SK RNA binds the CDK9/cyclin T complex (known as elongation factor P-TEFb). The record is from Ensembl. Lineage: Eukaryota; Metazoa; Chordata; Mammalia; Carnivora; Felidae.
GGAUGUGAGGGCGACCUGGCUGCGACAUCUGUCACCCCAUUGACCGCCAGGGUUGAUUGGGCUGCUCUGGCUGGCUAGGCGGGGGUCCCCUUCCUCCCUCACCACUCCAUGUGCCUCCCUCCCGAAGCUGCACGCUCGGUCGAAGAGGACGACCUUCCCCCGACAGAGGAGGACCGUUCUUUGGUCAAGGGUGUACGAGUAGCCGCGCUCCCCUGCUAGAACCUCCAAACAAGCUCACGAGUACCCUCCUUCAUGCCCAUCA